AGAUACUCGAAGAAGAGCUCGGCCUGUGAAGAGAGCUAAAUGGAUGGGGUCAAGAAUCAGGUUUGCUUGAAAAGCUUGAAGCUAAGUAUACGAUCGGAGAUAUGCUAUGGGUUUUAAGAAUGAAGAAGAUUCAGUCAGAACCAAAAAGGU
Molecule: non-coding RNA, 150 nt
Organism: Camelina sativa (false flax)
Lineage: Eukaryota; Viridiplantae; Streptophyta; Magnoliopsida; Brassicales; Brassicaceae
Source: RefSeq, a predicted model, not a curated record